RNAcentral lists this ribosomal RNA (444 nucleotides) under uncultured bacterium. RNAcentral describes it as "bacterial SSU rRNA". It matches the Rfam family "Bacterial small subunit ribosomal RNA", at positions 331 to 792 of the family's 1533-position model. The record is from RNAcentral.
CCAGACUCCUACGGGAGGCAGCAGUGGGGAAUAUUGCACAAUGGGGGAAACCCUGAUGCAGCGACGCCGCGUGAGUGAUGAAGUAUUUCGGUAUGUAAAGCUCUAUCAGCAGGGAAGAUAAUGACGGUACCUGACUAAGAAGCUCCGGCUAAAUACGUGCCAGCAGCCGCGGUAAUACGUAUGGGGCAAGCGUUAUCCGGAUUUACUGGGUGUAAAGGGAGCGCAGGCGGCCUGCCAAGUCUGGUGUGAAAACCCGGGGCCCAACCCCGGGCCUGCAUUGGAAACUGGCGGGCUGGAGUGUCGGAGGGGCAGGCGGAAUUCCUAGUGUAGCGGUGAAAUGCGUAGAUAUUAGGAGGAACACCAGUGGCGAAGGCGGCCUGCUGGACAGUAACUGACGUUGAGGCUCGAAAGCGUGGGGAGCAAACAGGAUUAGAUACCCGCGUA